GUGUCAGCAGCCGCGGUAAUACGUAGGGGGCAAGCGUUGUCCGGAAUCAUUGGGCGUAAAGCGCGCGUAGGCGGCCAGAUAAGUCCGGUGUGAAAGUCACAGGCUCAACCUGUGAAUGCCGCUGGAAACUGUCUGGCUUGAGUCCGGAAGGGGCGAGUGGAAUUCCUGGUGUAGCGGUGAAAUGCGCAGAUAUCAGGAGGAACACCAAUGGCGAAGGCAGCUCGCUGGAACGGUACUGACGCUGAGGCGCGAAAGCGUGGGGAGCGAACAGGAUUAGAUACCCUGGUAGUCC
Molecule: ribosomal RNA, 292 nt
Filed under: uncultured bacterium
Lineage: Bacteria
Description: partial 16S ribosomal RNA
Rfam family: Bacterial small subunit ribosomal RNA
Source: RNAcentral